AAGCUAUUUAGGUAGCGCCUCGUGAAUUCAUCUCCGGGGGUAGAGCACUGUUUCGGCUAGGGGGCCAUCCCGGCUUACCAACCCGAUGCAAACUGCGAAUACCGGAGAAUGUUAUCACGGGAGACACACGGCGGGUGCUAACGUCCGUCGUGAAGAGGGAAACAACCCAGACCGCCAGCUAAGGUCCCAAAGUCAUGGUUAAGUGGGAAACGAUGUGGGAAGGCCCAGACAGCCAGGAUGUUGGCUUAGAAGCAGCCAUCAUUUAAAGAAAGCGUAAUAGCUCACUGGUCGAGUCGGCCUGCGCGGAAGAUGUAACGGGGCUAAACCAUGCACCGAAGCUGCGGCAGCGACGCUGAUGCGUUGUUGGGUAGGGGAGCGUUCUGUAAGCCUGUGAAGGUGGCCUGUGAGGGUUGCUGGAGGUAUCAGAAGUGCGAAUGCUGACAUAAGUAACGAUAAAGCGGGUGAAAAGCCCGCUCGCCGGAAGACCAAGGGUUCCUGUCCAACGUUAAUCGGGGCAGGGUGAGUCGACCCCUAAGGCGAGGCCGAAAGGCGUAGUCGAUGGGAAACGGGUUAAUAUUCCCGUACUUGGUGUUACUGCGAAGGGGGGACGGAGAAGGCUAUGUUGGCCGGGCGACGGUUGUCCCGGUUUAAGCGUGUAGGUGUGUGUUCCAGGUAAAUCCGGUUCACUUUAACACUGAGGCGUGAUGACGAGGCACUACGGUGCUGAAGCAACAAAUGCCCUGCUUCCAGGAAAAGCCUCUAAGCAUCAGGUAACAUCAAAUCGUACCCCAAACCGACACAGGUGGUCAGGUAGAGAAUACCAAGGCGCUUGAGAGAACUCGGGUGAAGGAACUAGGCAAAAUGGUGCCGUAACUUCGGGAGAAGGCACGCUGACAC
RNAcentral lists this ribosomal RNA (897 nucleotides) under Salmonella enterica. Its description in RNAcentral is "partial 23S ribosomal RNA". It matches the Rfam family "Bacterial large subunit ribosomal RNA", at positions 863 to 1757 of the family's 2925-position model. The record is from RNAcentral. Lineage: Bacteria; Pseudomonadati; Pseudomonadota; Gammaproteobacteria; Enterobacterales; Enterobacteriaceae.